UACGGAGGAUGCAAGCGUUAUCCGGAAUGAUUGGGCGUAAAGCGUCCGCAGGUGGCACUUCAAGUCUGCUGUUAAAUACUAGGGCUUAACCCUGGAGCGGCAGUGGAAACUGAAGAGCUAGAGUUCGGGAGGGGUAGAGGGAAUUCCCAGUGUAGCGGUGAAAUGCGUAGAGAUUGGGAAGAACACCGAUGGCGAAGGCGGUCUACUAGGCCGAAACUGACACUCAUGGACGAAAGCUAGGGGAGCGAAUGGG
RNAcentral lists this ribosomal RNA (253 nucleotides) under uncultured bacterium. RNAcentral describes it as "partial 16S ribosomal RNA". It matches the Rfam family "Bacterial small subunit ribosomal RNA", at positions 524 to 776 of the family's 1533-position model. The record is from RNAcentral.